RNAcentral lists this long non-coding RNA (1055 nucleotides) under Marmota monax (woodchuck). The record is from RNAcentral. Lineage: Eukaryota; Metazoa; Chordata; Mammalia; Rodentia; Sciuridae.
ACGGUGGCGAAGGCUCCCAGCCAUUGUAACAAUGCUUUUUCAAAAUUAGCCCUGAAAUCCACCCAGAAAAAAAAAAAAUCUCAGCUUACAUACGAACUAGGCUUCCAUGAAUCAAACGUUCAUUUCUGAAAGGAUGAGACGCCCCAGAGACUCCUACAAAGGAAUGGGUAAGAGAGAACCACGGGGCACUGAAUAGUCCCAAGUAAGAGACCCUUAGAACUAAGAGACCCUUAGAACUGCAGGUGCUCGGGCUGCAGCCCCCAACUCUCAUCUCAGCUGGAUGAAAUGCCCACGGGGCCUUCCCACUGGGCACAGAAAUGUAAAUGCUGGGAGCUGGGAGAAAUUUCAUUUCAUAUUGGAAAUGAUUUGCCAAGGGAAAAACCUAACACUAAUACCUCUAGUAGAUUCUGGCCUUGACUCAACGUAAUUGUCAUUCUUCCAAGAGAAUCUAGAUGGUUCCAUGGGAUUACAAGAUGUUCAUAAGGUAAUGAAUUCUAAGGGACUAAGUGAAAUUGUAUACUCUUAGUACUGGGGGACUUUUAUAACUAUGCAAUAAGGGCCUGAGGACCUCUGUGAGCAGAAGGGGACAGUUCUCACAGUGGCACUGCUGGGCACAGGUAAGCAGCGUGGGCUUGACAGUGAUCACUUCUUGAUUCCCAUUCAAGAAAAGGCUCACAGAGGACCAGCAUGUUGGGUAAUAGUCUAGUUCCUUUGGGGAUUGGCCAAUACCUUCUAUAUUAACCCAAAAAAAUGUGAACAGAUUUGUUAAGAUAUCUUUCUGUUCCUAAGGUAAAUUAUUAUCCCAAAGAAUGAUAUCAUCCAAUAUUAGAGGUAAAUCUCUUAAGUGUACAGAGAUACCUAACUACCAUAUGUUGAAGUAAGGUUCUCAGAGUGAGGAAAGUCAGUAGGUUAAGGUCCCUCUAAGCUGGAUUCACUGGUGCUGGCUACCAAGCUAAGUCAAGCGCCACAUCUGAAUGUGUUCUGUAGAAAUCUGCAUUGAUUACCAGAAAGAACAGUGGAACAAAUACAUACACAUACACAUAUGCAUCUCCAAG